Molecule: ribosomal RNA, 301 nt
Filed under: uncultured bacterium
Lineage: Bacteria
Description: partial 16S ribosomal RNA
Rfam family: Bacterial small subunit ribosomal RNA
Source: RNAcentral
CAGCAGCCGCGGUAAAACGUAGGGUGCGAGCGUUAAUCGGAAUUACUGGGCGUAAAGCGUGCGCAGGCGGUUAUAUAAGACAGAUGUGAAAUCCCCGGGCUCAACCUGGGACCUGCAUUUGUGACUGUAUAGCUAGAGUACGGUAGAGGGGGAUGGAAUUCCGCGUGUAGCAGUGAAAUGCGUAGAUAUGCGGAGGAACACCGAUGGCGAAGGCAAUCCCCUGGACCUGUACUGACGCUCAUGCACGAAAGCGUGGGGAGCAAACAGGAUUAGAUACCCCCGUAGUCCCUGUCUCUUAUAA